AGGGCUCCCUGCUCAGUGGGGAGUCUGCUUCUCCCUCUGCCCCUCCCCCCUGCUCAUGCUCUCUCACUCCCACUCUCGCUCGCUCUCUCUCAAAUCUAAAAAAAAAAAAUCUUAAAAAAUAAUAAUAAUUGAGAAGAAAAAGAAUAUAUCCCAGAAUUAGAAUAAAAUAAGUUGUCCAUGGCUCUAGAUUGCAGAGGACCUCAGAGCCAUACUGAGACAUGAUUUACAACUAGUGAAGACGGAUACCAAAUGAUGCGCAGUUGUACUGGGUUGAAUAAAGUCCCCUCAAAAUUCACGUCCUCCCAAAACCUCAGAAUGUGGCCUUAUUUGAAAAUAGUGUCUUGGCAGAUGCAAUUAAUUAACUUAAGGUGAGGUCACACUAGAUUGGGGUAGACCCUAGUACACUGCCUGGUGUCUUUGUAAGAAGAGAUGCAGAGACACACACAGGGAAAAAGCCAUGCGACUCUGUAAGCAGAUUAGAGCAACGCGUCUAUAAGUCAAGAAAUGUCAAGAAUAGCGAGUCACCAUCAGAAACUGGAAAGAGACAGGGCACAUAUGCCCGGCCCAUUUGGAAGAGCAUGUGACUCUUGAUGUCGGGGUCAUGAGUUCAAACCCCACGUGAGGUGGGGAGCCUACUUAAAAUCAGAAAGAAAAAAAAAAGGAAAAAGAAAGGAGGAGGAAGCAGGGAAGGAUCCUCCCCCAGAGCCUUUGGAAGGAGCACAGCCCUGCCACAUCUUGAUUUCAGACUUCUAGUCUCUAGGACACUGAGAAAGUAAAUUUCUGUCAUUUUAAACCACUCAGUUUGCUGUGAUUUCCCAAGGCAGCCACAGGAAACUGACACUGCAGUGAAAGGAUCUAUUGAUUUUUCUUCUUUUUUUUUUUUUAAGAUUUUAUUUGAGAGAAAAGAGAGAAUGAGUGGGAGGGACAGAGGGAGAGAGAGAAUCCCAACCAGACUCCGCGCUGAGCAGCGGAGCCCAACGCAGGACUCGAUCCCAGGACCCUGAGAUCAUGACCUGAGCCGGAGGCAGACACUUAAUCCAUUGAGCCACCCAGGUGCCCCAACGCUCUGCUGUUUUAUCCUGACCAGGUAUGACCUCUUUUUGGUGCUUUAAAUGGGAAGGAGGGAGAACAGGAGGUCCCAGGUCACUGUAUGGAACCUGAUGCCACCCUCUCCUCAGCAACAGGCUUCUCUGCAAGCUAGAUCCUGAAUUCUCUAGUUCAGACAAUGCUCAACCCAAGCCACUUCCCUGAAAAAGAAAAGGGGAAGAAAAAAAAAAUCUGCCUCAAGCAACGGAGACUCCCUGCAAUUUUCUCCCGGAGUCAAGUUCAUAUCUGUCUCCUGGCUGCCUCACGGCUCCUGUCUAGACCAAGCAGACCCCCCACCAAUGCCUUUGUGUCCACGCCCAUCAGAAGUCUUUUCUUUGUGAAACAGUCCCCUACUAGUGGGCUAGCCCUUUAAGAGCCCAGAUUAACUCCCCCCCCCCACCCGUUUGUGCCUAAAAAUACACCAAAAAGACUUCACAAUGGGAGUAAAGCCUCCCAGCAGGAAAAAUCAUGGCAAGAACACACUCAAGGUUGGAUUGAACAAUGCUACAAAAACAGGAAACACGGGGUAGCUGUGACUCCCCUUCCUUUGGAGACCCCAUUGCACACCUGCCCCAGUGGAGCAGGAAAACAGCUAAUCCCUAGUUAGCAAUCUCUGUGUGCAGGCCUAGUGCUAAGCAUUUUCACAUUUUUAGUUAGUUCCCACAACAAUCCUAUGGAGCAGAUACUAUUAUUUGCCUCAUCUUUUCAAAAGUUGAAACUGAAGCACAAAGAGACUAAGUAACUUUCCCAAGGUCACAGAGCAAAGAAAUGACAAGUCGGGAUUUGAACUUUGGUGGCCUGGCUCCAGAGUCUGCUCAUACCCACCUGUGACAGGCAGGUUAAGAAGGGCACCCAUGAUCCCCAUCUCCUGGUAAGUCACCCCUUUCAGUAAUCCCCUCCUCUUGAGUAUGGAUGGUACCCAUCACUCAACAAAAUGUGACAAAGUUGAUGGGAUGCCACUUCCGUAUUUAAAUUCCAGGUGAUGGUACUUUCCAUUUUACUAGUAGACUCUCCUUAUGGCCUUCAUGGCUUAUACACAUUGAAGAAGCAUGCAGCCAUGGUAGAAAGGCCCAGGUGGCAAGGACCUGAGGGUGCCUCCAGUCAACAGCCAGCAAAGACUAGAGGCCCUUAGUCCAAUGACCCUAAAGAAAUGAAAUUCUUGGGGUACCUGGGUGGCUCAGUGGUUGAGCCUCUGCCUUCAGCUCAGGUCAUGAUCCGGGGUCCUGGGAUCAAGUCCCACAUCGGGCUCCCCCCAGGGAGUCUGCUUCUCCCUCUGCCUGUGUCUCUGCCUCUCUCAUGAAUAAAUAAAUAAAAUCUUUUAAAAAAUGAAAUUCUUCCAACUAUAUGAGCUUAAAAAUGGGUUCUUCCCCAGUUGACUUUGGCCCUGGCUGACACCUUGAGAAGCCUUAAACAGAGAAACCAGCUAAGCUGGACUGAAUUCCUCAUCCAUAGAAACUAUGACAUAAUAAAUGUUGUUUGAAGCUUUUAGGUGUGGGGUUAUUUGUUAUGCAGCAAUAGAUAGCUAAUACAGCCUCCUGGGAUUGAGUCCCAGUUUAAGUCCCAGCUUAAGUCCCAGUUUAAGUUCCAGUUUAAGUCCCAGCUUAAGUCCCAGCUUAAGUCCUAAGCUUAGCCAUGAACCCACUGACCAUGCACCAUCCCAGGUUUCAAGUUCUCAUCAAAUUCAGUGAGACAUGAGCCAGUCUCAUUCACUCAACAACUGUUUACUUAGUAACCACUUAGUGCCAGGGAGAAGUUAUUGUGAGCUGUGACAUUGGUCUUGCUCUGUGCUUGGACUGAAACCUACCCCCCACUCCCACCCUGGGCCUCCAGCUUGCAGGGAGCAGAUCAUGGGACUCCUCCACCUCCACAAUCCUGAGAUAAUUCUUACAACAAAUCUGCUUGGUUCCAUUUCUCUACAGAACUCUAACACAGUAGACAAGAACCAUACGUAAAUAGGUCAUAUGACAGAUCACAGUAAAUUCCAGGCAGGAGAAAGCAAUUGCAGAAUGUGCUAUGUUGGUUGCAUCACAAACACUUGGGCCCUACUUUCAAGAUAAGAUAUUCAAAGAGCCUUGUUUUUCAAAAAAUUCUAAGACUAAGGACACACACACCAAAAAAUCCAAGCAAAAAUGAUCAGCUAGAGCCAAUAACCUGGCCAGAGAUCCUCAUGUAAUGGACAAAAGCUGGUCAAAAAACCAUAAAGAGCCUAUUGACCUUGGACGGAAUCUUCUGGAUGAUAGCCACAGCUUCUGUCCCUGAUUCUGAGCCUUCAACUCUUAAUCUGUAUUGGUCACCUGUCUGGUCAGCAAAGAUCACUCUGCCUCUCCAAGUCAGGCAAAGGAUCAGUCUAUAAGUCAAGGACCUAUCAGGGAAGAGAUGGCACCCUCCAAUGGAGUGACUGAGAAGCAUGGAGUGAAGGUACUAUUGAUAGAGGGGUGGGCAGGGUUGACCAACGGGGAAAAAUACAGUAGCAAGAGGCUAGCAUGGGGGGCUGACUAGGUCAGGCCUAAAGGAGAGGGGGAGGAUCACUUUCUCCACAGAGAGCUGGGGACAGCGACAGGGUAUACAACCUCUUGAGGGACACAGACAACUCACAGCAACUCCUCUGGAAAGGAGCCCACCUCCCUGUUCCCCCACCCUCAGAUCUCAGGCCGAUGCCUGCCACUGACAAAACCCAAUCAAAGACAGGGGUAAAGGACUCCGUUGAUGCACCUUAAUACAACGAGUCUCCCAAAGCACCCAGAACAUGGACCAGGGCAGCUGAGGAGACAGUGGAUCCGGGGAGGCAAAGGGAAGGCCUCCAGAACCCCAGGGAAGCAAAAUGCAAAAGAGAGAAUAAGAGGAAGAGCAAAGAUAAUGAGGAAGCAAAUUUAGAUCCAUUACAUUUGGUAUUUUUCCAAAAAGGUUUUUUCAGGAUUUCCUACCAAAUAUUUGGUAAUCUUUAUAUUCAUGUGUAUCAGAUUUUUAAGAUGCUUAAAGCAUUUAAAAGUGUCUCAUGGGACACCUGGGUGGAUCAGUGGUUGAGCUUCUGCCUUUGGCUCAGGACGUGACCCUGGAGUCCCGGGACCGAGUCCCGCAUCUGGGUCCCUGCAUGGAGCCUGCUUCUCCCUCUGACUGUGUCUCUGCCAUUCUCUCUGUGUCUUUCAUGAAUGAAUAAAUAAAAUAUUUUUUAAAAAAUAAAAAUAAAAGUGUCUCAUAAUGUGGCUCACAAUUUCCAUCAAGUUUUCAUUUGGAAGAGCUUAAUUGCUUAAGUUUUUCUCAUUCUUCAAGUGUUUGGGGAACUCUAAUCUGUAAAACUCAUCUUUUCAUAUAAUAAAAGCAGAAUGUGAAGAUUUUAUCAACUGCUUCAGAACAAGUAACAAUUUCAGGUGGGUUCCUGGAAGUGUACAAAAGCCCCUUGGACAUAAAAGUUAAUUAUUAAAAGGGGGUAAGUCCAGUGUCACUGUGAGCUGCGGGGAAGUAAGCUCUGGGUGAUCUUGCACCUCUUCUUCCUCAUGGUCACCUGUUGAUCCUGUCCUGAGUUGACCCCAGAGUCCAGUUCUAAACUUCAGAUUUUCUUAAUUUGAGGGUUUUUUUCUUGGGUGGGGGUGGGUGGGUGUUGGGUUGGGUAGAAGAACUAGAGCUUUCAAGAGUCUCAAAGGUAAUAAAAAGUCAAAUAACCCAACUGAAAAAUGGGCAAAGAAUCGGUAUAGACAUUCCUCCAAAGAAGAUACACAAAUGGCCAAGAGGCACAUGAAAAGUUACUCAGAAAAGAAAAGAAAAAGAAGGGGCAGCCCCGGUGGCGCAGCGGUUUAGUGCUGCCUGCAGCCUGGGGUGUGAUCCUGGAGACCCGGGAUCGAUUCCCACAUCGGGCUUCCUGCAUGGAGCCUGCUUCUCGCUCUGCCUGUGUCUCUGCCUCUCUCUUCGCUCUCUCUGAAUGAAUGAAUGAAUAAAUCUUAAAAAAAAAAAAGAAAAUAAUAAAGAAAAGUUACUCAGUAGCCAUCAGGGGAAGGAAAUUCACACCACAAUGAGAUUCCACGCUACACGCUAGGAUGCUAUAAUGAAAGAGACCUCUAAUAAGUGUUCAAAAAGAUACAGAAAAAUCAAGCCCCAUUUAUCGCUGGUGAGAUUGUAAAAUAGGCGGCCACUUCAGAAAAGUCUGGCAGUUCCUCUAAAGGUUAAACAGGAGCACCUGGAUGGCUCAGUGGUUGACCAUCUGCCAUCGGCUCAGGUCGAGGUUGUGAUCCCCGGGUUCUGGGAUCAAGUUCCACAUCAGGCUCCCCACCCAGGGAGCCUGCUUCUCCCUCUGCCUCUCUCUGUGUGUCUCUCAUGAACAAAUAAAUACAAUCUUUACAAAAUAAAAAUAAAAUGCAAAAUUCGUGGCUGAGAUUCUUUCUCAGGCUGUCUCUCGGCCACCUUAUCUCCAUAAAAGAGGGAGAGAGAAAACCCUAAUACAAGGUAGACUCCUGUGAUAAAGACAGAAGCAAAGGGACAUGGGCCUCUUUCUCUUUCCAGCAUCAGGAAAGGGUCCCAACCGAGGCCAUAACAUGUGCGGAUUCACCCUUUUGCCCUCACAGGUGCGGACAGCCCAACCUGUUCACCCACAGACCUUCAGAGCACACUGGGGAGCCACCCUGACCAGAGACCUUCAGUUGUCUGGGAGGUGCUAGGGUUAGCCUGCCAAAGGGCCCCAAAGAGAAAGAAGAGGGAGGGAAAGUUCCCUCCCCAGGGCAAAAUGGGAAAUCCCUCACAUUUUUGGGUGAGGGCAAUCCAGGUGGUUCCCCGGGGCUUCAGAUCUUCACCAACGAGGCACCUUGGCCAGAGGUCGGAGGUUGGCGGGUCCCCAAGGAGCCUGAGAAGUCAGUCCUCCAAAGAAAUGUCCUGAAAAUUUCCAAGAGAAUAUACAGGGAGCACCCAGGGCCAGCAAAGGCUCUCACCAUGCAGGGCCUACCAAAUUAGGGGAUGGCUACAAAGUCUCCCCAUAUGGGUCACCAAAUGUGGGGUUCCCCCAGUUGGACAGGGGCCACCAAAUUUGGAGUGACCCAACAACUUGGUGGAAGCCGGCAGCACAGGCAAAGAAUUCGCCCAAGGAUCCCUGGGUGGCUCAAUGGUUUAGCACCUGCCUUCAACCCAGGGCGUGAUCCUGGAGUCCUGGGGUCGAGUCCUGCAUCAGGCUCCCUGCGUGGAGCCUGCUUCUCCCUCUGCCUGUGUCUCUGCCCCUCUCUCUCUCUCUCUCUGUGUCUCUCAUGAAUAAAUAAAUGAAAUAAAAAAAAAAAAAAAAA
This 6347-nucleotide long non-coding RNA is filed under the name Canis lupus familiaris (dog). Its description in RNAcentral is "lncRNA (ENSCAFG00845026718.1)". Lineage: Eukaryota; Metazoa; Chordata; Mammalia; Carnivora; Canidae. The record is from RNAcentral.